Molecule: ribosomal RNA, 254 nt
Filed under: uncultured bacterium
Lineage: Bacteria
Description: partial 16S ribosomal RNA
Rfam family: Bacterial small subunit ribosomal RNA
Source: RNAcentral
UACGAAGGGGGCUAGCGUUGCUCGGAAUCACUGGGCGUAAAGGGCGCGUAGGCGGCGUUUUUAAGUCGGGGGUGAAAGCCUGUGGCUCAACCACAGAAUGGCCUUCGAUACUGGGACGCUUGAGUAUGGUAGAGGUUGGUGGAACUGCGAGUGUAGAGGUGAAAUUCGUAGAUAUUCGCAAGAACACCGGUGGCGAAGGCGGCCAACUGGACCAUUACUGACGCUGAGGAGCGAAAGCGUGGGGAGCGAACAGG